UCACUGCUGAAGAGUCCUAAAAUAGAACGAAAUGGCCGUCCAGUAC
This 46-nucleotide non-coding RNA is filed under the name Schistosoma margrebowiei. Lineage: Eukaryota; Metazoa; Platyhelminthes; Trematoda; Strigeidida; Schistosomatidae. The record is from RNAcentral.